Molecule: long non-coding RNA, 305 nt
Filed under: Androctonus crassicauda
Lineage: Eukaryota; Metazoa; Arthropoda; Arachnida; Scorpiones; Buthidae
Source: RNAcentral
GCCUUUUCCAUUUUUUUUUAUAAUGGGAUCAUGGAAAAUACAGAUAACUUUAAUCCUAAAAACAGUUUCACUAGUAACAUUGGCUUUUAUUGCUUCUUCACUGUUUUUAAUGGUCCUUAUAGUUGACUCAUUAAUAUUGAUUAGCCUAGCCACCAAUAUAGCACUUCUGUCAUGCCCUAACCUUGUCAUCACCUUGAGUUUUUUCUGCAAUGAUAUGUUUUUAGCUCUUUUGGCUGGUUUAUCAUCACCAAUGGUUUUUUGAAUGUUUGGAACACAUCACGAUGAAAAAGAAUAAUUUAUAAAAA